Molecule: small RNA, 1648 nt
Filed under: Pongo abelii (Sumatran orangutan)
Lineage: Eukaryota; Metazoa; Chordata; Mammalia; Primates; Hominidae
Description: retained intron
Source: RNAcentral
AAUUCUCCAUAUUCUCUCUUAGAGGUGCUGUGUCCUCGAUGUGAUAUUGGCCUUUUGGGAUUGAAAAGGAAGCAGAGAAAGUUAAAGGAGCCCUUGCCAAAUGGAAAGAAAAAAAGCACCAAAUUAGAGAGUCUGAGUGACCUGGAGAGAGCUUUAACUGAAAGCAAGGAGACUGCUUCAGCUAUGGCAACUCUCGGGGAAGCUCGCCUAAGGGAAAUGGAAGCCUUGCAGUCUCUCAGACUCGCCAAUGAAGGGAAAUUGCUGUCGUCUGUCCAAGAUGUGGAUAUAAAAAUCUGCCUAUGUCAGAAGGCCCCAGCUGCCCCUAUGAUUCAGUGUGAACUCUGCAGGGAUGCUUUCCACACCAGUUGUGUGGCGGUACCCAGUAUUUCACAGGGCCCCCGAAUCUGGCUUUGUCCCCAUUGUCGGAGGUCAGAGAAACCUCCAUUAGAGAAAAUUCUGCCCCUGCUCGCCUCCCUUCAGCGUAUCCGAGUUCGCCUUCCUGAGGGAGAUGCACUUCGAUAUAUGAUUGAAAGAACCGUGAACUGGCAGCACAGAGCCCAGCAACUGCUUUCGUCAGGGAAUCUUAAAUUUGUGCAAGAUCGAGUGGGCUCAGGACUGUUAUAUAGCAGAUGGCAAGCCUCAGCAGGACAGGUGUCAGACACAAACAAGGUAUCUCAACCUCCUGGCACAACAUCAUUUUCCUUGCCUGAUGACUGGGACAACAGAACCUCAUAUUUGCACUCUCCCUUCUCAACUGGACGAAGUUGUAUCCCCCUCCAUGGUGUUAGUCCAGAAGUGAAUGAACUAUUGAUGGAAGCCCAGCUGCUCCAGGUAUCCCUUCCUGAAAUUCAGGAACUUUACCAGACUUUACUUGCAAAGCCAAGCCCUGCUCAGCAGACUGACCGAAGCUCACCAGUGAGACCCAGCAGUGAGAAGAAUGACUGUUGCCGAGGGAAGCGAGAUGGAAUUAACAGUCUUGAGAGAAAACUGAAGAGACGCCUGGAAAGAGAGGGCCUCUCCAGUGAGCGGUGGGAACGAGUUAAGAAAAUGCGGACCCCCAAAAAGAAGAAAAUCAAACUGAGCCACCCCAAGGACAUGAACAAUUUCAAGUUAGAGAGAGAGCGUAGCUAUGAAUUAGUUCGUUCUGCUGAAACUCAUUCCCUGCCCUCAGACACAUCCUAUUCCGAACAGGAAGACUCUGAGGAUGAAGAUGCCAUCUGCCCAGCUGUGAGCUGCCUGCAGCCAGAAGGAGAUGAGGUCAGUGAGGUUUGGGCCAUAGAGGACGUGCUUUCCCUUAACUCAGAAACCCUGUAAGCUAGACCUCAUCUCGCUGGGUCUUUCUCCUCUGCUUAUCUGCUUUGAGCUGAUCUGAAUGGAUUGCUCAGCCCUUCCCCCACUGAUAUCUGUGCUCUUACCAUCGUUCCUGGGUCUCCUCCCUUUUCUUGAAGAAACUCUUGUUCUUCCCUUUUUCCUUUUCUUGCUCUUCCAGCUUUCACCUUCCCGGCGCUAAGAAGGUGGGAGGGAUGCUGAUGUGAUGCCCCUUGGCUUACUUAUCACAGGGCAGCGCUGUCUUAACCCCAAAGCAGACACGACUUGAAGAAUGACUUUGACUCGGUUGCUUUGGCUAGGGGGCCAGCUACACUCAUUU